Molecule: ribosomal RNA, 497 nt
Filed under: uncultured bacterium
Lineage: Bacteria
Description: partial 16S ribosomal RNA
Rfam family: Bacterial small subunit ribosomal RNA
Source: RNAcentral
GAUGAACGCUGGCGGCGUGCCUAAUACAUGCAAGUCGAGCGAACAGACGAGGAGUUUGUUCCUCUGACGUUAGCGGCGGACGGGUGAGUAACACGUGGAUAACCCACCUAUAAGACUGGGAUAACCUCGGGAAACCGGAGCUAAUACCGGAUAAUAUAUUGAACCGCAUGGUUCAAUAGUGAAAGACGGUUUUGCUGUCACUUAUAGAUGGAUCCGCGCCGCAUUAGCUAGUUGGUAAGGUAACGGCUUACCAAGGCAACGAUGCGUAGCCGACCUGGGAGGGUGAUCGGCCACACUGGAAGUGGGACACGGUCCAGGCUCCUGCGGGAGGCAGCAGUAGGGAAUCUUCCGCAGUGGGCGAGAGCCUGACAGAGCAACGCCGCGUGAGUGAUGAAGAUCUUCGGAUCGUGAAACUCUGUUAUUAGGGAAGAACAAAUGUGUGAGUAACUGUGCACGUCUUGACGGUACCUACUCAGAAAGCCACGGCUAACUACGUG